UCCCCCAUUUUUUCCCAAAAUCCCGUUUUUCCCCCCAUUUUUACCAAAAAUCCAUUUUUCCCCCAUUUUUCCCAAAAUCCCUUUUUUUCCCCCAUUUUUACCAAAAUCCCCGUUUUUUUCCCCCAUUUUUACCAAAAUCCCAUUUUUUCCCCCAAUUUUAACCAAAAAUCCCGUUUUUUUCCCCCAUUUUUCCCAAAAUCCCAUUUUUUCCCCCAUUUAACCAAAAUCCCGUUUUUUGCCCCAUUUUCAGGCCCGCUGGGCCGGGGCGGGUUCUGGUUCCGGCUCCGGCGGCCGGCGCCUUCACGGGCGGGGGAGGGCCAGCACGAGCGGGGACUGGAAAUGCCCCAAAUCCGUGAGUGUCGUACUGGUUAUACUGGUUUGUACUGGGAGGGACUGGGAGGGACUGGGUUAUACUGGUUAUACUGGGUUAUACUGGUUUGUACUGGGUUAUACUGGUUUGUGCUUCACGGGCGGGGGAGGGGCCCAGCAGCGAGCGGGGGACUGGAAAUGCCCCAACCCGGCGUGUGAGAACAUGAACUUCUCGUGGCGGAACGAGUGCAACCAGUGCAAGGCGCCCAAGCCCGAGGGGGGCCCCGGGGGCCUCACCUGGGCGGGGCGGGGCCGGCAAGUACCCGGGGGAGGGCCGGAGCAGGAGGAGGAGGAGGAGGAGGCGGCAACCGCGGCGGCAGCGGCGGCAGCCACAUGGGUGGGGGUUUCGAGGAGCGCCGGGGCGGCCGCGGCGGCUUCGACCGGGGCGGGUUGGGCACACCUGGGCACACCUGGGCACACCUUUACACACCUGUACACAUGUUUAUCACACUUUUACACACCUGUACACACCUGUGGGUCUCACCUGUGUCUCACCUGUGUCUCACCUGCCCAGGGGGGUUUCGAGGAGCGCCGGGGCGGCCGCGGCGGCUUCGACCGGGGCGGGUUCCGUGGCCGCGGCGACCGCGGCGGGUUCCGGGGCGGCCGAGGGGGCGACCGCGCGGCUUCGGGCCCGGCAAGAUGGACAGCAGGGGUGACCACCGGCAGGACCGACGCGAGCGGCCAUAUUGAGCCCCUCCCCCACCCUUUUUUACCCCUCCCCCUCCCCAAAUUUUUGUAUGUUCGCCCCUCCCCCACCCCCCUUUGGCCCCGCCCCCUCCCGCGGCCCCCCCCGUUUUUAACCCCUCCCCCCCAAAAAGGGAUUUUGGGGAACGAUCUGAUUGGCUGGCGCUGGGAAGGGGCGUGGCUUCACUGGGAGGUCAUUAACGUGCCUAAUUAAUGCCUAAUGAGCUCGUUAACAAGCUCGUUAAACACUGACGUAAAUGAGGUCGUUACAAGGGCAGGUGGUGCGCGGCUGGGAGGGUUAAUUUGCAUAAUAUGCAUUUAUUAGCAUAAAUUGAAGGGGUUUGGCUUGUCACAAGUAGCUGCUCUGGGGGCGUGGAUUGAUUUGGCUAAUUAGCAUAAUGGGCAUGGGUAAUUAGCAUAUAUAGAUUAUGGGCGUGGUUUGCACACUCGGGUUAUUGUAAUGUUAAUUAGCAUAAUGGCGUGGUUAAUUAGCACAUAUAGCUUACGGGAGCGUGGUUUGCACAUUUAUGGGUGUUAUUGUAAUGUUAAUUAGCAUAUUGGGCGUGGUUAAUUAGCAUAAAUAGCUAAUGGGGCGUGGUUUGCACGCUUGGGGUGUUAUCGUAAUGUUAAUUUGCAUAAUGGGCAUGGGUAAUUAGCAUAAAUAGCUUAUGGGGGCGUGGUUUCACACUGGGGGGUUAUGUAAUAGUUAUAUAGCAUAAUGGCCGUGAUUAGCAUAUAUACCUUAUGGGGGUGUGGUUUUCACACUUGGGGUUAAGUGUAAUGGUUUAAUUAGCAUAAUAGUCAUGGUUAAUUAGCAUAAAUAUCUUUUGGGGCGUGGUUUGCACACCUUUAGCAGUUUGGGUUGGUUUAAUGGCUAAUUAGCAUAAGGGGCGUGGUCUGCAUAUAAUGGGACAUUGAGGGGUGGUUUUAGCUGAGUAAGGGGCGUGGUUUGCAUAUAAAUGAACUUUAGGGGCGUGUCUUUCCCAUAUUUGCAUAUUGAGGGCGUGGUUUGCAUAUAAAUGGAAUUUAGGGGCGUAUCUUGUCCAUAUUUGCAUAUUGAGGGCGUGGUUUGUCCAUAAAUGGACAUUGGGGCGUGGCCAUGCCCUGUUUAGGUAAAGGUAAAGGUGAGGGGGGCAGAACCCAGCCAGGUAAAGGCAGAACCCAGCCAGGUACAGGCACAGGUGAGACAGGUGAGACAGAACCCAGCCAGGUAAAGGCACAGGUGAGACAGGAGGACAGAACCCAGCCAGGUAAAGGCACAGGUGAGACAGGAGGGACAGAACCCAGCCAGGUAAAGGCACAGGUGAGACAGAACCCAGCCAGGUAAAGGCACAGGUGAGAGAGAGGGGACAGAACCCAGCCAGGUACAGGCACAGGUGAGACAGAACCCAGCCAGGUAAAGGCACAGGUGAGACAGAACCCAGCCAGGUAAAGGCACAGGUGAGACAGAACCCAGCCAGGUAAAGGCACAGGUGAGACAGAACCAGCCAGGUAAAGGCACAGGUGAGACAGAACCCAGCCAGGUACAGGCACAGGUGAGACAGAACCCGUCCAGGUAAAGGCACAGGUGAGACAGAACCCAGCCAGGUAAAGGCAGAACCCAGCCAGGUAAAGGCACAGGUUAGGCAGAACCCAGCCAGGUAAAGGCACAGGUGAGACAGAACCCAGCCAGGUACAGGCACAGGUGAGACAGAACCCAGCCAGGUAAAGGCAGAACCCAGCCAGGUAAAGGCACAGGUGAGACAGAACCCAGCCAGGUACAGGCACAGGUGAGACAGAACCCAGCCAGGUAAAGGCACAGGUGGGACAGAACCCAGCCAGGUAAAGGCACAGGUGAGACAGAACCCAGCCAGGUAAAGGCACAGGUGAGACAGGAGAGGCAGAACCCAGCCAGGUAAAGGCAGAACCCAGCCAGGUAAAGGCACAGGUGAGACAGAACCCAGCCAGGUAAUGGCACAGGUGAGAAGGUGAGACAGAACCCAGCCAGGUAAAGGCACAGGUGAGACAGAACCCAGCCAGGUAAAGGCACAGGUGACACAGGAGGGGCAGAACCCAGCCAGGUAAAGGCACAGGUGAGACAGAACCCAGCCAGGUAAAGGCACAGGUGAGACAGAACCCAGCCAGGUACAGGCACAGGUGAGACAGAACCCAGCCAGGUAAAGGCACAGGUGACACAGGAGGGACAGAACCCAGCCAGGUAAAGGCAGAACCCAGCCAGGUAAAGGCACAGGUGAGACAGAACCCAGCCAGGUAAAGGCAGAACCCAGCCAGGUAAGGGCACAGGUGACACAGGAGAGACAGAACCCAGCCAGGUAAAGGCACAGGUGACACAGAACUCAGCCAGGUACAGGCACAGGUGAGACAGAACCCAGCCAGGUACAGGCACAGGUGAGACAGAACCCAGCCAGGUAAAGGCAGAACCCAGCCAGGUAAUGGCACAGGUGAGACAGGAGGGGCAGAACCCAGCCAGGUAAAGGCACAGGUGAGACAGAACCCAGCCAGGUAAUGGCACAGGUGAGAAGGUGAGACAGAACCCAGCCAGGUAAUGGCACAGGUGAGACAGGAGAGGCAGAACCCAGCCAGGUACAGGCACAGGUGAGACAGAACCCAGCCAGGUAAUGGCACAGGUGAGACAGAACUCAGCCAGGUAAAUUUACAGGUGAGACAGAACCCAGCCAGGUACAGGCCCAGGUGACACGGAAGCGCCGCCCAGCCCAGGAAAUACCUGCACAGGUGACACCCGGGGCGUGUCCGCGGCACAGGUGAGGGUGGGGGUGGGGGUGGCACAUUCCGGGCAGGUAAAGGGGCGUGGCCGCGCUCAGGUGAAGGCACAGGUGAGGAAGGUGACACAGGAGCGAUGAGGAGGCGGCGGCGGCAGGGAGCGGGGCCGGAGCCGAUUCUGCUGAUUCUGGUGCUGGUGGCGGGCGGUGAGAGGCGGUUUGGGGGAAUUUGGGGGAUUUUAGGGGGUUUUUGGGGGGUUUAGUGGCAGCCUGAGGGAAUUUGGGAGUUUUUUUGAGGUGUUUUGAUGGGAAUUUGGGGGGUUUGGGAGGGAAUCAUGAGGGAUUUUGGUGGGAAUCGUGAGGGGGUUAAGGAGAGUCUGAGAAGAUUUGGGGUGUCUGAGGGGAUUUGGGGGGGUUUGAUGGGAAUUUGAGGGGAUUUGGG
Taeniopygia guttata (zebra finch) is the source of this 4215-nucleotide long non-coding RNA. NCBI's taxonomy places the organism in Eukaryota, Metazoa, Chordata, Aves, Passeriformes, Estrildidae. The record is from Ensembl.